RNAcentral lists this ribosomal RNA (497 nucleotides) under uncultured bacterium. RNAcentral describes it as "partial 16S ribosomal RNA". It matches the Rfam family "Bacterial small subunit ribosomal RNA", at positions 28 to 507 of the family's 1533-position model. The record is from RNAcentral.
GACGAACGCUGGCGGCGUGCCUAAUACAUGCAAGUUGAGCGCUGAAGGUUGGUACUUGUACCAACUGGAUGAGCAGCGAACGGGUGAGUAACGCGUGGGGAAUCUGCCUUUGAGCGGGGGACAACAUUUGGAAACGAAUGCUAAUACCGCAUAAAAACUUUAAACACAAGUUUUAAGUUUGAAAGAUGCAAUUGCAUCACUCAAAGAUGAUCCCGCGUUGUAUUAGCUAGUUGGUGAGGUAAAGGCUCACCAAGGCGAUGAUACAUAGCCGACCUGAGAGGGUGAUCGGCCACAUUGGGACUGAGAAACGGCCCAAAACCCUACGGGAGGCAGCAGUAGGGAAUCUUCGGCAAUGGACGAAAGUCUGACCGGGGCACGCCGCGGGAGUGAAGAAGGGUUUCGGAUCGUAAAACUCUGUUGGUAGAGAAGAACGUUGGUGAGAGUGGAAAGCUCAUCAAGUGACGGUAACUACCCAGAAAGGGACGGCUAACUACGUG